CUACAGUUCAGCCUUGUUUGUUAAAGCCAUUGCUUCAUGUCAAGGUUCUUGUGGUAGCGUCAGUUCUUUACUUACUUCUUUACUCUAUCCUUAAGAAAGGCAGCUGGAUACUACUAAUGUUGUGUGUGUUCCAUACAAGCGGCAAGCGAGUCCUGAGAAGCAGUGAAUAAUAUGAGGCAGAAGCAGCGAUUACCCAAGCACUGGUCUCAGCUGAGAAACAUUUUGGCACUUGCAGGAAGCAGCAACAGCAGAGUAGUGACCAAUGUAUUUCACAACUCUUGUACUUCUAGAUCAUGUUGCCUUUAGUACAGAGUGUGCUCUGCCAUCAUGAAACUUGACAGCUUCUGGUCUGAUGGUGAUCCUGUGGGGAUCUUGGAUUCCAGUAGAGAUAUGCACUUCCAGUCGACCUCUGUUCAGGAACACUGCAUAGUAAGCCUGCAAUGGACAUGUUGGUAUACAAAGGGUCAGUUUUCCUUCCCGUGUUCCUGCGCUUUCUCCUGGGGGGAACAACUGUGCCACUUGAGCCAAAUAAAAUGAUUCCAGACUCAUUCUUGGUGCUGAAGGAGAGGUUGA
Lagopus muta (rock ptarmigan) is the source of this 573-nucleotide long non-coding RNA. RefSeq lists it as uncharacterized. The record is from RefSeq and is a predicted model, not a curated record. NCBI's taxonomy places the organism in Eukaryota, Metazoa, Chordata, Aves, Galliformes, Phasianidae. The transcript is spliced from 4 exons.